AUAAAGUAUAUUAAAACAUAGCCAAUUGCUGGCCUACAAACAUUAUAACAACGAUUAACUUAUAAACUGGCAUAAAAACCUAUUAUUCUACCAAUACUCAACUUUGCAAAUUAUGCCUCUUAAUCCUAAUGUACCAGCUGCAAUUGACAAAGUGUGCCUGUUUAUUGAGAAAGUUAUGACUGUAAUUUCCAUGAAAGAUGAUGCAAAUCUUUUUCCUCCCACCAGGGUUAAGAUAUUAAACGAUGAAACGAAGAUGGCAUAGCUUGGUAGCCAUCGAGAAAAUAUUAUGCCUUCUAAUCCUAAUAUACCAGCUGUAAUUGACAAAGUAGGACUGUUUAUUGAGAAAGUAGAGACUGUAAUUUAAGAAAGAUGAUGUAAAUCUUUUUCUUCCCACCAACAGAAUUUGGAAAAUUUAUCAUUCUGAACGCUUUCAUUUUGCGAUCAAGAAAAGAUAUCCAAAAUAUGAUAAUAGUGUAAUGGGAGAUAAUUUUUCUACCGAGCGGAUUAUCGGUGAUGGAAAUUGUCUCUUCAGAUGUAUAAGCAAAGAAGUUUGUGAUGACGAAUGCCACUACGAUUUUCUGAGACAGCAAUGCAUUCUCUUUAUGAGAAGCAAGGAUAUUGUUGAGCAGAUGGAUUGGUUUUUGGGAAAACCUGUUGACAAAUAUUUGGAGAGAACAGGCAUGGCUCAAAAUGCAACUUAUGGAACAGAGGUGGAGAUAGUUGCAUUGGCAACUAUGCUUCAAGCAAACAUAAUUAUUCACAGAGUUGGGCAGUACAGCGAAUACUUGUAUCUAAGAUACAAGAUACAAGAUCCUUUUGUAUCUUGUACUCAGUAUCUUUUUGACAUUUUUAAUAAGAUACUAGUGACUGU
Molecule: long non-coding RNA, 871 nt
Organism: Gordionus sp. m RMFG-2023
Lineage: Eukaryota; Metazoa; Nematomorpha; Gordioida; Chordodea; Parachordodidae
Exons: 7
Source: RefSeq, a predicted model, not a curated record